GUCGAAUGCAAUCAGGACCAGAUCGCCGGUUACGUUGAGUUCUGAGAUGUUGAUUGGCGGCGACGAGUGAGGCGUAGGUGGGAAGAGGAAGACGGCGGGUGGGGAUCGGUCGAGGAGUUCGGAGAGGCCGGGCUUGAGGCGGCGAUUGACGAUGGUGGUUGCGUUGAGGAGGCAUUUGGUGAGGAUUGGUGUGGUGGAGAGUUUGUGUUGUGCCUCGUGAGGAUGUUGGAGGAUGAGGAUUUUUGUUUUAGUUGCGAUUGGUGAAGAUGGAAGGAAUUUGCAGAGGCAGACUGGUUGUGGACGGCUGCAAUUGGAGCAUAUUGACCGUCGUGGUGGCGGUGAUGAUGAGGAAGAGGAAUUUCCGGCGGCGGAGUUGUGGUUGUUUGUUGCCUCCAUGCGCGAGGAAACGAUGUCGUUUAUGCGUUGGUUUCGCUGUUUUAGGGUAAGGGAAGUUUCUCCGUGAAAAGUCUCUACAGAUUUUCAUUACCCCAUGGACAAAAGCAAGAAUCGCAGACAAAUUGAAGGAGAAAACAGCCCGAAAACCGCAUUCAUCAUCAACGAAAAG
RNAcentral lists this unclassified non-coding RNA (565 nucleotides) under Hevea brasiliensis (rubber tree). Lineage: Eukaryota; Viridiplantae; Streptophyta; Magnoliopsida; Malpighiales; Euphorbiaceae. The record is from RNAcentral.